AGAAGUAGAUAGCUUAACCUUCGGGAGGGCGUUUACCACGGUGUGAUCAAUGACUGGGGUGAAGUCGUAACAAGGUAGCCGUAGGGGAACCUGCGGCUGGAUCACCUCC
RNAcentral lists this ribosomal RNA (109 nucleotides) under Marichromatium gracile. RNAcentral's name for it is "partial 16S ribosomal RNA". It matches the Rfam family "Bacterial small subunit ribosomal RNA", at positions 1422 to 1530 of the family's 1533-position model. Lineage: Bacteria; Pseudomonadati; Pseudomonadota; Gammaproteobacteria; Chromatiales; Chromatiaceae. RNAcentral also lists the same sequence under 7 other names. The record is from RNAcentral.